This 426-nucleotide ribosomal RNA is filed under the name uncultured Megasphaera sp. RNAcentral describes it as "bacterial SSU rRNA". It matches the Rfam family "Bacterial small subunit ribosomal RNA", at positions 124 to 525 of the family's 1533-position model. The record is from RNAcentral. Lineage: Bacteria; Bacillati; Bacillota; Negativicutes; Veillonellales; Veillonellaceae.
CCCUGCCCUUCGGAUGGGGAUAACAGCCGGAAACGGCUGCUAAUACCGAAUACGAUCUUUUCGUCGCAUGACGGAAAGAAGAAAGGAUGGCCUCUAUACAAAGCUAUCGCCGAAGGAGGGGUUUUGCAUCUGAUUAGCUGGUUGGAGGGAUAACGGCCCAACAAGGCGACGAUCAGUAGCCGGUCUGAGAGGAUGAACGGCCACAUUGGGACUGAGACACGGCCCAGACUCCUACGGGAGGCAGCAGUGGGGAAUCUUCCGCAAUGGACGAAAGUCUGACGGAGCAACGCCGCGUGAGUGAAGAAGGUCUUCGGAUUGUAAAGCUCUGUUAUACGGGACGAAAAAGACGGAUGCCAACAGUAUCCGUCCGUGACGGUACCGUAAGAGAAAGCCACGGCUAACUACGUGCCAGCAGCCGCGGUAAAU